CUUUGCUCCGUGGCGCAGUCCAAUGAGAGCCCGGGCUGGGCGCGAGAGCCGGCGCUGGGGCGAUGCCAGCCCCUGCCCGCAGGAGCCUCUCAGCGCGGCGGGGGGGGGCAGGCCCGCUCCGCUCCGUCCGGCAGCACCUCCCCUCAGGCCGCCUCGGCGGCCAGGACAGGGCUGAAGCCGAAGCGCCGAGCUCCCCGGGGGCUGUUCUGAGCGGGGGAAGGGCUCGGCCGCGGCCCUCCGCGCAGGCGGUGGCUCCUCCUGUGGCGAGGAGGCCUCCGCGGACCCGAAUCGACGCUAACCAGUCCCGGCUGAUCCCUCGCCCCGGUGACUGACAUUUGCAAAACAGAAGGACGAUUGCUUCGGAGGCGAAGUCACUGGCCGAAAUCUCCAAUCAGGCGGCGGGGGCGAGUGGAAGGGUGUCGCCUGUCCAAUCUCUGGGCCUGUAUCUCAAACUGAGCAGGGUUGUCUAGACACAGAAUUUGGACAGGAGGCCUUCAAGGAGCACCUAUGGGCUGCAGGAAGAAGUGCAGGUGAUUCAGGAAGAGUGCUAACACUGCCCCAGCGCUGCAUCUUUAGCCGAGGACAGUUGAGAAGGAACUGAAGGGCUUGGGUUGUGCAUGUGCUACAUGCGGCACCAACAGGACCGCAAGAUGCCGCCUGCACAUGCAUGACCCAUGUGGACACUGCUACUAUAAAUCUCUGAUCGAAAGCACUGGGACACACCGACACCUGAAGUGGAACACCCACCAGGACAGCGCUUGAAGUAGUCCCAAGCUGUAUAGUAUCUACAUGAAGAAAACCUAGGUAAGUUGUAAACUCUGGGAGGUGUCCAAGGGGACAUAAGGCUCCAAGUAUUUUUCUUUGAUUGAACUAGGUUCCUCCUCAUCAGGAGUUGCAGCAGAAUGGGAUUGACCUACUUAUCUUGGAUCCAAAGCCACAAUACUGAGCUCAGUUCCAGGUGCUCCACAGAUCAGAUGAUGGCACCAGUCUAGCCUUGAAACAAACUACUUUCAGCACUAAGGGUUCAUCUGCACAAUGCUGAGGGGAUAACUGUUUCAGAGGAGAUUUUGGAGGAACCAAUCCAAUGGAUCCAAAAGGGAAGUAGCCAGGGUUCAUCAGCACCGACAGUCCCAAGUCAUUCAGCAUCCCCUUCCCCAUUGCUUUCAAAGAAUGUUGACUCCUAGUACCUUGGACAAACAGGUCUGAUGGGUAAAGGAUAACUGAUCCAACCUGCUUGGAUCAGAAGAGGCCCUGUUUUCGUGGGAAUCUUGUGGCCCACAGAAGCAAACUGCAAUGAGGUCCACCUGGAUGAGACAACAGAUCUCUGUGGGAACACCAUUUUGCUGCAUUAUAUGGCCUCUUGGAGCUCCUGGAACUGUAAAAGGUGUUUUCUUCAGCUUCCUCUGAAGAACUCUGAUCUUUAGUUGGAAGAACUUCCUUCGAUGGUUCGAGAAGUGUUUGCAACAGGACUGGAAUUUUGGAUCAGGUUUUGGAACUGAUGGAGGCUCAACAGCCACACUGUUUGUAUGUGGGGUGAACACUUUAGGAGAAGGUCACCCAGACUCAUGUUACUAGUCCCUUGCAGGAGCAAGUUCCAGAGAGGAAUUUUAUGGUCAUCUUGGGCAAGGCCUUGCAGGCAUCACAGCCCUUUGCUAAAUGCCUGAGAAAUGAGAACUAAAAAGGUACUUUUCAUGCCCAUCUGAAAGGGGAAACAUAGUGGGGCAAGGAGAACACUCCUUAAACCCUGUUUUCCUACACAGGUCCAUUAUCUUGGGCAUGGCCUGAGAACAUAAAACCAACAAAAAAUUGAUGAGAACUAGAAAAAAAAUCAAACUCAAGUCUACAGUAUGUCUAUCUAAAUGUCUUACAAACUAUUUACAACUAUUUUAUGCGAACAAACAUACAGGAGAAAGAAGUUGGUUCUGUGACUGUUCCAGUAGGUGGAUAGAGAAACUGCCAGUGGGCAUGGAGUAUUUAUACACCAGUAUAUGAAAUGUAGGCCACUUGGUAUAUAUGCACACACCCUUCAACAGCCAAAAAUGCUUCUGUGGCCACAUAGUUAGACAUAUAUUUACACUGGGUUUCUGUGGAGGCUGUGUCAUGAAAGAAAAGUACAUUUUCACUUUUUUUGUCCAUUAAUAGAAAGAACAGAAAAUGCUUAACACAAUUAAUAUUAACAAUAAAGGGGAAGGAACUCAGACCAAAAUAGGGAAAGAAGAGCUUAAAGAAUACUUAGGCUAUGUCGACACUAUGCACCUUUUAGCGACACACCUGUGCCGCUACAGCCACGCUGCUAAAAGGCGCGCAGUGUAGCUGCUGUUCGUCGGCAGGCUGCCAUAAAAAAAAUGGAGAAAAGUUGUUCUCUUUUGCCAUAGAGAGCAGGAGAAGAGGCAAUGGGUUCAAACUACAGC
Molecule: long non-coding RNA, 2411 nt
Organism: Mauremys reevesii (Reeves's turtle)
Lineage: Eukaryota; Metazoa; Chordata; Testudines; Geoemydidae
Exons: 4
Source: RefSeq, a predicted model, not a curated record